This is a long non-coding RNA of Cyprinus carpio carpio, 1444 nucleotides long. The record is from Ensembl. Lineage: Eukaryota; Metazoa; Chordata; Actinopteri; Cypriniformes; Cyprinidae.
UGAGUUGGUGCUAAAGAAACCUUUCUUAUUAUUAUCAAUGUUAUUUCUUUCUAUUAUUAAUGAAUUGUAAAAUAAUUGUACUGCUUAAUAUUUUGGUGGAAAUUUGUCUAAAUAUUUUGUUAUAAAAAAGACACUGGACAUUAUAUGUCUUUACUGUCACCUUAAAAAAAAAAAAAAAAAAAAAAAGUGCCCUAACUGGAUGCACACACAGUUUCAUCAUCACACUGUACAAACUGUACAUACUGAUAGGGAUCUAGUUUAGUUCCAUAAAGCUUGCCUCUUUUUUUCCAGUUGAUUAAAGAUCCCAUGUUGAUUUCAUUUAGAGUCACCCUGAAUAGCGGACAUAAAGCCAAGCCAGCAGCUCAUCAAACGCGCCACACGAUACCCACAUUAAAGCAAGGACAGAGGUGGACUCACAACAGGGCUGGUCACAGUAAGAGAUCCUCUUCAAACAUCAAAGUGUGUUAAUCACUUGUGUUAAAUGUGCUCGAGCCUGUAUGAGGGGUGGAAGUGAGGCUAUACUGACAUUGCAAGAUCUAUUAUGGCAGGUAAAUGUGUCUUAACGGCAGGAAGAGAGAAGGCGAAAUAUAGGAAAUCAACAUAGAGAGCUUGUCUCACUGUUAUGGAUCCUCUAUGGAUCUAAUCUAAUUUAAUCUAAUGAAUCCUGUCUAAUUAUUAAAUUUGACAUCUGAACAAACAACAUCUUCACACAUUUAUCUGAAAGAGAAACAUGCACACAGAAGAUUAUUUUUGCACUUUUGAGGAGAAGCACCUGUAAAUUCUGUGCCUCAGCAAAAAAAAAAAAAAAGUAAUUAAAACAGUAUUAAAAAAUGCAACCUGUUCUAAAUAAGAAAUGGUUCCAGAUACACAACCCUAGAUAUAGCAGAUAACAAUAAGCAUUAUAUAGCAUUAUUAAUAUUUUUAUGAAGGACUAAAUAUCUCUGUAUUAUGCAUUACAUAUAGAAAGAGUUUCAUAGAAAGUGUUACUGAACAUACUGCUGACUUCAUUUGAUUAAUAGUAAUACCAUAAACAGACACAUGAUUUCACAGCGGGCAGAAAAUAUAAUAAAUAAAUAAAUAUCUGUGAGCGAAAGUGUCUUUGUGUGGAGCUACCCAGUUCCCAUCUCAAAUGAACAUGUGCUCUCUCUGCACAGAUGACACUCAAAAUGCAUUACAACCAUUAAUGAAAAAGUUAAUGGGCCAUUUUCUUACAUAUCAAUUUACAUUUUACAAUUUGGGUACACAAAUGAUGUCUGCUACGGUGGGUCCUUAAUAUUUUGCUCAAGGAAACAAUUCUAAUGUGUUUUUUGGACAUCAAAUGUAGUGAAUAAUGAUGCGUCCAUCGCAUGCAAAUAAGAUGACAGUUGGAAUGGGCUGAUCAACAGUGCUCGCAUAAAGAGGUUACAGACUGCCGUGUACCGCGCUCAGUUUCAAAAAUGUCAUC